Molecule: long non-coding RNA, 674 nt
Organism: Lolium rigidum
Lineage: Eukaryota; Viridiplantae; Streptophyta; Magnoliopsida; Poales; Poaceae
Exons: 6
Source: RefSeq, a predicted model, not a curated record
GAACCAGCUACCAGGCAGGUAGUGACUUGGAUGGUAAUACAGUUACAUGAAAGGAGUACAAAUCCAUGACGUUCGCAUCCAGGUAGUAAACAAGGCAGUCCGGUUGGCCAACAUUGUGCCUUGCAUUUUGAGAAAGACCCUAAAUGAUGUUCAGUUCAAAGGAUACACAAUUCCGGCAGGAUGGGGGUUGAUGGUAUGCCCACUAGCAGUGCACUUGAAUCCAAAUAUUUACCUACAUCCUCUCAUUUUCAGUGCUUCAAAGUUUAAGAAUGGAUUUUAACUAUGAGAACAAGGCAGUGCCAGCUCAACUGGAGAAAACGCAAGAGUUGUUGGACAAGCACAUAGUACACGUCUGGCCAUGCCCCGUUUCACCUUUCUUUCGUCAUGACAAGAAGGAAGAGAAGUCUCUACAAUCCUCGAGGGAAUCACCUCUAGCAAGCAAGUAGCUCCUAAAGAAAUUUGAUGAUUAUCAUGCCUUGCAAUGCCCCAUUCAGCUUUAGAUGAAGAGUAGCGAAUUGUUUGGACUGAAUUCUGAAUAUGCUGCAUUUGUGCCAUGUGAGAGAAAUAGCAUAUUGUUAUCAUCUUGAAAUAGUAGACAAAAAUGUACAUUGAGACUACAGAGAGAUGACGGCUUGAUAUAUAGUCGCAGCACCAUCAUUGGCUGCAAGAAUUUG